AAACAUUGCGUUGAACCAGUAAAUGGCUUGUCCAGUGUUGUUUGGGGUAAUAUUAUGUUAUAAUACAAUGAAUUUGAUUGACUACAAGAGCUAGAGAUGCAUGAAGAGUGUUUAGAAGAGUGUAGAAAGACUUGCUGAAAUUUAGGCUGAAAUGAGCUAAGAACCCACAACCAUUGCUUUCAAGCAUUAAAUGGCUUAUAUAGUGUUUUUUGUGGUUAGAAUAUGUUAGAAUCGUUAAGUUUGAUUGAUUACAAGUGCUAGAGAAUCAUGAAUAGUGUUUAGAAGUUUGGAGAAA
RNAcentral lists this long non-coding RNA (295 nucleotides) under Capsella rubella. Its description in RNAcentral is "long non-coding RNA (CRUB_LNC000377)". The record is from RNAcentral. Lineage: Eukaryota; Viridiplantae; Streptophyta; Magnoliopsida; Brassicales; Brassicaceae.